RNAcentral lists this microRNA (19 nucleotides) under Schistosoma mansoni. RNAcentral's name for it is "sma-miR-8412-3p". Lineage: Eukaryota; Metazoa; Platyhelminthes; Trematoda; Strigeidida; Schistosomatidae. The record is from miRBase by way of RNAcentral.
AGAUCGAUGAUGGUUUGGA